Molecule: unclassified non-coding RNA, 225 nt
Filed under: Hevea brasiliensis (rubber tree)
Lineage: Eukaryota; Viridiplantae; Streptophyta; Magnoliopsida; Malpighiales; Euphorbiaceae
Source: RNAcentral
ACCUGGUUCAUAUGUUGGUGAAGUGGUGAAGGUCAUGGGGAAAUCGAAAGUUCUUGUAAAGGUUCAUCCUGAGGGUAAGUAUGUCGUUGAUGUCGACAAAAGCAUUGACAUAACAAAAAUUACACCGUCGACCAGAGUUGCUCUGCGCAACGACAGCUAUGUACUUCAUUUGGUCUUGCCUAGCAAGGUCGAUCCUCUGGUAAACCUUAUGAAGGUCGAGAAGGU